GUGCAAUGCUUCAUCCCCGGUGCCGUUCAAUCCCAGGUCGUUUUCCCUUUCAGCUGCAAUGCCGGGAUUUUAAAUAGCAGAGAUGAAAGGCCCCUGCCCCCGCCUCCCUCCUCCCCUGAGUUCAUGUAUUAUGAAUGAAACGGCAGCCUCGCUGCUUCCUGAGGUGCUCCACUUCAGGUUGGAGUGCAGUGGUGCUGUGUCUGGAGUUUGUUCCUGCCGUUGGGUUUGUGGUCUUGCUGACUUCAAGAAUGAAGCCACGGACCUUCACGAGAAAUAUUACGUUGUAUGGAUGUACCACUGUUUGUUUAUCCAUUCUUCAGGUGAAGGACAUGUGGGUUGUGCCCAGCGCGGGCUGAAUAAAGUCCAUCGCCUUGGCUUAGUGCAUGUCACCAAAAAUUCUCCAGGAAUUUCAUAGUUUGGACCUUGGUGGCAUGGCUGGCCCUGGAUUAUCCAUGCAGGGAGGCCUGAUCCUGUGACAGCUGGCUGCAGCAGGGGGCUGCCCAUCUUCUGUGCUUUGUGGUACAUAUCUGUGUCACCAAAGUAGCGGCCUCGGUACAGCAAGCCUUUCAUCUGCUGCUUCUCCGUCCAGCAGUUGUUCCAGAGGUUGGCGAUAUAAUCAUCUUUCACAUUCGGUUUGACUGUUUGGAGGCUGGAGCCUGUGUACUCCUCGGAGAAAAUGCCUGCCACAUAGUAGAUGACACUCAGGUGGUCAGUGACUCGCCUGUGAUGUGGCCCACAAACAGUCUUGGGCUCAGACUGUAGGGUGGACUGGAGACCAUGAGCUGGCUGAGAGCUGACAUGAGGAUGAGGAUGGGUAUCAGCUGCACGAACACCCGCAAGCUGCCGUCACUCCGCUUCUCCCUGCAGCCCUGCCUUUGCUGAUACACACACAGGCACAUUGGAAACGCAGUAGAAAAUGGCUGCCAAUUUAAAACCAGAAGUUAAGAAGAGCAAACUCGAAUGUACAGCAAGAGAGCUUCAGGCUGGACUGGCUUCCAGCAGAAGUGGGACUGGAAACCUCGGAUUCUAUUGUCUCUUCUCUGUGAAGUGGGAAAACAUGUCAGUAUCUGAACUUGAGCUUGGUAAUUACUGCUCAUUUCUCAACCUUUUCCAAGCCACGUAACUCCCCUAAGGCUUAGUUUUCUUAUCUGUGAAUUGCGAGAUGGUAUGUUCUUCAUCACGAGGUUGCUAUAAAGACUGAAUGAGAUAAUGUGUGUGGAAGCACCAAGCAUGGUCCUUGGCAUGCAGUAGAUGCUCAAUAAAUAUGAACUGGAGUACACAUGCACUCUGCUCCCUCCUGCCCCCUCAUAGUGCCUGGUCUGGCUCUGGGCUCCCUGGGAUAUGGCAGGUUACCAAAGCAGGCACUAAGGCAUGUCUACCCUUGGUACCUUAUUACCUAGGUUUCCUGUGCCACCUGCUUCAUUCUAAUCGCAGAUUUCAGGCUCCAUUCAAACAGAACCUCACUUCUGCUAGCUGUCAUGCUCAAAAAGGGACUGAUGACCACUGAAGCAGGCUAUGAUAGUGAUUUAUGAAUGUCAUUCCUCCAGACAGCAUUUGGAUUAUUACUGGUUUUGCUUUUAUUUUAUUUGGCG
RNAcentral lists this long non-coding RNA (1592 nucleotides) under Homo sapiens (human). Its description in RNAcentral is "HSALNT0032879". Lineage: Eukaryota; Metazoa; Chordata; Mammalia; Primates; Hominidae. The record is from RNAcentral.